AGAAGGAGUGUGGUCCACCGGAGGACUCCCUACAUUCUUCCUCCAUUACCUCACUGCCUCCGGUGGCUGCUGGGAUACCGGAGGACUCGGGUCCCGGCUCGACUCAGUCCUCCAGCCGCCCGGGGAAUACCUCUAGUUCUUCCCGGCCGCCGCCGCCGCCGCCGCCCCGCCGCUUCCUCCUCCGCCUGCCGGCCUCCUUCGCCCCGUCCCGUCCGCGCAGCGCGUCCGGCCCGCCCGCAGGCCAGCUUCUCUCGGGAGCCCCCACCCAGGCGCAUGGCUCCAUGAAGCAAGAGGAGGAGGCAGAGCGCGAGAGGUCCCGUCCGCCCCAGCCGCGUCUGGGCCAGGAUAAAAGCAAAACCAUAUUCCUGCUGCUGUCAGUUAUGAUGCACUGAGAAAACUUCAGAGACCUAAACUUUUUCCAGAGAAGAGAAGCUUUACUGGUGUUCCAGCCCUAAGAAACUUAAAUCCUCAGUGUGACACAACUCAGUCCUUCUACUGCAGCAGCUCUUUUAUAAAAGCCUCCCAAAGCUCCAAGAAGGAACAAAGAAUGUGACCCAGUAAGCUCACACCAUAAAUCUAUAUUGCAGAAACCUUUGUUCAAGAAAACGGCAGAUGCUCUGUUGAAUCCACUGGAGAUUGUUCUGAUACUAAGGACAACAACCAUCUUUCCUGUGAAAAAUUCCCUCUCGUACUUUAGUUCUGUGGAUCCAAAAUUUAUAGCAUUCUUCUACCACCACAGGGGCUCAUAUGACAUUAACAGACAAGACACUUUUCAGAAAGACAG
RNAcentral lists this long non-coding RNA (784 nucleotides) under Homo sapiens (human). RNAcentral describes it as "non-protein coding NUTM2B-AS1:45". The record is from RNAcentral. Lineage: Eukaryota; Metazoa; Chordata; Mammalia; Primates; Hominidae.